GUGUCAGCCGCCGCGUUAAGACGUAGGAUGCGAGCGUUGUUCGGAUUUAUUGGUCGUAAAGCGUACGUAGGCGGCUGUCUAAGUCUGGUGUUAAAGCUAGGGGCUCAACCCCUGUGAUGCACUGGAAACUGGGCGGCUUGAGAACGGUAGGGGAAGGUAGAAUUCCGAGUGUAGCGGUGAAAUGCGUAGAUAUUCGGAAGAACACCGGUGGCGAAGGCGACCUUCUGGGCCGUUUCUGACGCUGAGGCACGAAAGCGUGGGGAGCAAACAGGAUUAGAUACCCUGGUAGUCCACGCUGUAAACGAUGAUCACUAGGUGUCGGGGGUAUCAACCCCCUCGGUGCCGUAGCUAACGCGUUAAGUGAUCCGCCUGGGGAGUACGGUCGCAAGACUGAAACUCAAAGGAAUUGACGG
This 413-nucleotide ribosomal RNA is filed under the name uncultured bacterium. RNAcentral's name for it is "bacterial SSU rRNA". It matches the Rfam family "Bacterial small subunit ribosomal RNA", at positions 505 to 916 of the family's 1533-position model. The record is from RNAcentral.